Molecule: ribosomal RNA, 253 nt
Filed under: uncultured bacterium
Lineage: Bacteria
Description: partial 16S ribosomal RNA
Rfam family: Bacterial small subunit ribosomal RNA
Source: RNAcentral
UACGUAGGGUGCGAGGGUUGUCCGGAAUUAUUGGGCGUAAAGGGCUCGUAGGCGGUUUGUCGCGUCGGGAGUGAAAACACACAGCUUAACUGUGUGCUUGCUUCCGAUACGGGCAGACUAGAGGUAUGCAGGGGAGAACGGAAUUCCUGGUGUAGCGGUGAAAUGCGCAGAUAUCAGGAGGAACACCGGUGGCGAAGGCGGUUCUCUGGGCAUUACCUGACGCUGAGGAGCGAAAGUGUGGGGAGCGAACAGG